Molecule: ribosomal RNA, 254 nt
Filed under: uncultured bacterium
Lineage: Bacteria
Description: partial 16S ribosomal RNA
Rfam family: Bacterial small subunit ribosomal RNA
Source: RNAcentral
UACGGGGGGGGCAAGCGUUGUUCGGAAUUACUGGGCGUAAAGAGCUCGUAGGCGGUUUGGUAAGUCGGAUGUGAAAUCUCCAGGCUCAACCUGGAGGGGUCAUUCGAUACUGCCAUGACUAGAGUUCGGUAGGGGUGUGUGGAAUUCCUGGUGUAGCGGUGAAAUGCGCAGAUAUCAGGAGGAACACCGGUGGCGAAGGCGGGUCUCUGGGCCGAUACUGACGCUGAGGAGCGAAAGCGUGGGGAGCGAACAGG